RNAcentral lists this ribosomal RNA (253 nucleotides) under uncultured bacterium. Its description in RNAcentral is "partial 16S ribosomal RNA". It matches the Rfam family "Bacterial small subunit ribosomal RNA", at positions 524 to 776 of the family's 1533-position model. The record is from RNAcentral.
UACGAAGGGGGCUAGCGUUGCUCGGAAUCACUGGGCGUAAAGCGCACGUAGGCGGGUUGUUAAGUCGGGGGUGAAAUCCUGGAGCUCAACUCCAGAACUGCCUUCGAUACUGGCGACCUUGAGUCCGGGAGAGGUGAGUGGAACUCCGAGUGUAGAGGUGAAAUUCGUAGAUAUUCGGAAGAACACCGGUGGCGAAGGCGGCAUCCUGGACCGACACUGACACUGAGGAGCGAAAGCCAGGGGAGCAAACGGG